This is a long non-coding RNA of Lutra lutra (Eurasian river otter), 515 nucleotides long. RefSeq lists it as uncharacterized. Lineage: Eukaryota; Metazoa; Chordata; Mammalia; Carnivora; Mustelidae. The transcript is spliced from 5 exons. The record is from RefSeq and is a predicted model, not a curated record.
CGGGGGUGGUAGUCGAGGACGAGCUGCUGUGGUGUCCGGGGGCGGUGGUCGAGCUCGAGGCCGAGCUGGGGGUCGAGGUCGGGCCCCCAUGGUGUCCGGGGGCGGUGGUCGAGCUCGAGGCUGAGCUGGGGGUCGAGGUCAGGUCCCCAUGGUGUCCGGGGGUGGUGGUCGAGCUCAAGGCCGAGCUGGGGGUCGAGGUCGGGCCCCCAUGGUGUCCGGGGGUGGUGGUCGAGGUCAGGUCCCCAUGGUGUCUGGGGGUGGUGGUCGAGCUCGAGGCCGAGCUGGGGGUCGAGGUCGGGCCCCCAUGGUGUCCGGGGGUGGUGGUCGAGGUCGAGCUGCUGUGGUGUCCGGGGGCAGUGGUUGAGCUCGAGGCUGAGCUGGGGGUCGAGGUCGGGCCCCCAUGGUGUCCGGGGGCGGUGGUCGAGCUCGAGGCCGAGCUGGGGGUCGAGGUCGGGCCCCCAUGGUGUCCGGGGGCGGUGGUCAAGCUCGAGGCUGAUCUGGGGGUUGAGGUCAGG